UACGGAGGGUGCAAGCGUUAAUCGGAAUUACUGGGCGUAAAGCGCGCGUAGGUGGUUUGAUAAGCGAGAUGUGAAAGCCCCGGGCUUAACCUGGGAACGGCAUUUCGAACUGUCAGGCUAGAGUAUGGUAGAGGAGUGUGAGUUACUUCGUGUGUGAGCGGUGAAAUGCGUAGAUAUAGGAAGGAACACCAGUGGCGAAGGCGGCACUCUGGACCAAUACUGACACUGAGGUGCGAAAGCGUGGGGAGCAAACAGGAUUAGAUACCCCCGGUAC
This 274-nucleotide ribosomal RNA is filed under the name uncultured bacterium. RNAcentral's name for it is "partial 16S ribosomal RNA". It matches the Rfam family "Bacterial small subunit ribosomal RNA", at positions 524 to 793 of the family's 1533-position model. The record is from RNAcentral.